CUAAUCACCUAGACUACUCCAUUCUGAGGCUCAUUUUGCUUCACAGUCGGUGGUUUAUCUCACUAAAAAUGGAGGAGAUUACGGUGUUAGGGUUCGAUUUGUCAGUCUCGUCUACUCUAACCUAUGGAUUCACGAUGAAGAUGAUGGUUCUGUGAAGCAUCAACUGACCAAUAGGUCUACACAAUACUCCCAAUCUGAGUGUUCAUUCCAUAGUCAAAGCCCCGAAUUGGAUUUUUCAACGGGUUUAUCGUCAUCUAAAGUUGAACCCGGUGAACACUAUAUUUCGCCGGAGUCCAUGGGUAGACAGAGAUCGAAGAUUGGUGAUAAGAAAUGUGUGUGAUGAUACACGGUGGACCAAAGGCAGAAAGGUGUGUUCAGAUAAACGAUUUCGACAAAAUGAAUGACAAAUUGGGUAGCCAGCAUUUGAAAAGAGCUGUAAUUUAUAAGUUAGUGUCACAUGUUUUAACUCCCUAAUCAUCUGUGUUCCCCACAUUGGUACUUACAGUUGCAGCGCACGGAUCAAAGAUAAGUUUUAAAUCACUAAAUAGCAUUCACUCUACUGUGAUAUACAUUGUUAGUUAGCCAGAAUACUAUUCUUUCAUUGUUUCUAAAUAAGAGUGAAAUUAUAAGCAGUUUAUCCAGUUAAUUCCCCAUUCUCCAAGACUGACAAUUUAUGAGUUGUUGACAUAACUGCAGAUAAGCUGCUACACAAUCUAUGAUGGUUACAAAGAAUUUGAAGAGAGCUCUAUUUGAUAAGUUAGUGUCAACACGUGUUAAGUGCCUAAUCAACUCUCACUAUGCACAUUGGUACUUUCACUGGUAAGCUGCUACACAAUCUAUGAUGGUCUCAAAGAAUUUGAGGAGACUUCUUAAGUACAAAGUUAGUGUCAACACAUGGUAAGCUGCUACACAAUCUAUGAUGGUUAAAAAGAUUUUGAAGAGAGCUUUAAUUGAUAAGUUAGUGUCAACACAUGGUUCGCCUUUUGAUCUGCAAAAUGUUAUGAUUGUUGAACUCACCUGAAUUUGUGCUUGUCUUUUUAAUUUCAUCUAGACCGUUUGAAAACUAAUUGAAUUUUCAAAUUACUUAAUCGAGUCUUACUCUUCUCA
Molecule: long non-coding RNA, 1107 nt
Organism: Ipomoea nil (Japanese morning glory)
Lineage: Eukaryota; Viridiplantae; Streptophyta; Magnoliopsida; Solanales; Convolvulaceae
Exons: 5
Source: RefSeq, a predicted model, not a curated record